RNAcentral lists this ribosomal RNA (496 nucleotides) under uncultured bacterium. RNAcentral's name for it is "partial 16S ribosomal RNA". It matches the Rfam family "Bacterial small subunit ribosomal RNA", at positions 30 to 507 of the family's 1533-position model. The record is from RNAcentral.
UUGAACGCUGGCGGCGUGCCUAAUACAUGCAAGUCGAGCGAACAGACGAGGAGCUUGCUCCUCUGACGUUAGCGGCGGACGGGUGAGUAACACGUGGAUAACCUACCUAUAAGACUGUGAUAACUUCGGGAAACCGGAGCUAAUACCGGAUAAUAUAUUGAACCGCAUGGUUCAAUAGUGAAAGACGGUUUUGCUGUCACUUAUAGAUGGAUCCGCGCCGCAUUAGCUAGUUGGUAAGGUAACGGCUUACCAAGGCAACGAUGCGUAGCCGACCUGAGAGGGUGAUCGGCCACACUGGAACUGAGACACGGUCCAGACUCCUACGGGAGGCAGCAGUAGGGAAUCUUCCGCAAUGGGCGAAAGCCUGACGGAGCAACGCCGCGUGAGUGAUGAAGGUCUUCGGAUCGUAAAACUCUGUUAUUAGGGAAGAACAAAUGUGUAAGUAACUAUGCACGUCUUGACGGUACCUAAUCAGAAAGCCACGGCUAACUACGUG